GAUGAAGAACGUAGCGAAAUGCGAUACGUAAUGUGAAUUGCAGAUCUCUCAGUGAACCAUCGAAUUUUUGAACGCACAUAGCGCCCGCCGGUCAUUCCGGCGGGCAUGCCUGUCCGAGCGUCGAUGACGCCGCUCGAGCCCCCGUGCUCGGUGUUGGGGCGCUAGGUCUCCCAGAGGCCUAGGCCCCCAAGUAGCAGUGCGCGGUCCGGCUGCGGGCCCCGGGUACAGUAACUUCACUGUUGAGAUGCCCUGGGAGCCGCUGGCUGGGUCAGCCGUGAAACCCCCGACAUAGGCCUUCCUGUCCGCCCCCGGCGGGGAGGGAGACCGCCUAAUGUUGACCUCGGAUCAGGUAGGACUACCCGCUGAACUUAAGCAUAUCAAUAAGCGGAGGA
RNAcentral lists this unclassified non-coding RNA (392 nucleotides) under soil metagenome. RNAcentral describes it as "partial contains 5.8S ribosomal RNA, internal transcribed spacer 2, and large subunit ribosomal RNA". The stretch from base 1 to 123 matches the Rfam family "5.8S ribosomal RNA", at positions 35 to 154 of the family's 154-position model. The record is from RNAcentral.